Molecule: ribosomal RNA, 223 nt
Filed under: Staphylococcus aureus
Lineage: Bacteria; Bacillati; Bacillota; Bacilli; Caryophanales; Staphylococcaceae
Description: partial 23S ribosomal RNA
Rfam family: Bacterial large subunit ribosomal RNA
Source: RNAcentral
AGAUUAAGUUAUUAAGGGCGCACGGUGGAUGCCUUGGCACUAGAAGCCGAUGAAGGACGUUACUAACGAAGAUAUGCUUUGGGGAGCUGUAAGUAAGCUUUGAUCCAGAGAUUUCCGAAUGGGGAAACACAGCAUGAGUUAUGUUAUGUUAUCGAUAUCAGAAUACAGAGCAUAUCAGAAGGCACACACGGAGAACUAAAACAUCCUAGUACCCGGAGGAAGA